Molecule: long non-coding RNA, 608 nt
Organism: Glycine soja
Lineage: Eukaryota; Viridiplantae; Streptophyta; Magnoliopsida; Fabales; Fabaceae
Exons: 3
Source: RefSeq, a predicted model, not a curated record
CUUCCACAAGUCUAAAUAAGCUACGAUAAAUGCUGCAUAAUGCAAGUAUGCAAUAAAGGAGAGUAUUGAAAAUUGAAACAACGGUUUCUGGUGGAGCUUGAUCAAUGCAUCUUCUUUGUAACAGAUAACAUGGGCUUAGUCUGCAGCCGAAGUCGUCGUUUUCGUGAAGCUGAUGCUGAAGAAAAUGCUCAGGAUGCAGAAAUUGAAAGAAGAAUCAAGUUAGAAACAAAGGCUGAAAAGCAUAUUCAGAAACUUUUAUUACUAGGUGCUGGAGAAUCUGGGAAGUCUACAAUCUUUAAGCAGGCAAGAAAUUGCAUCUUCUCAACUGCUUGUGAAUUAUGAUAGUAUAUGAUUGCUAUUGGGUGUAGACUGCAAACCAACCAUUUUGAGAAGGGUGAAGUGUGUCCCAAAAGAAAGAAAGUUUCGGGUUCUCACAUAAACUGUAUUUCUUUGAUCCUUCGUCAUCCACACUUCCACAUGAAUCUUCCAAAUUGUUUCCCUCACAGCAUGGUUGCAACGGAUUCAUCAGUGUAGACUUUUCUGCAUAAUGUAGAAAGAAAAAAAAACUGUCAUCAUCUAGAGGUUUUCUUAUAAUUAUGCAAUUAGAU